CUCAGUAAAGAAGAGUUAAAUCAGCAGAUAUGAAUCCAGGGGGUUAUACAGCAGAAGUUACAUGUCUUUCCCCUACUACUACUGAAAAGGAUGUUCAUGAUUUCUUGGUUUCUGUGGGGCAAUUGAACAUGUUGAGAUUGUCAGGUGUGUUUAAUAUCUGGGAGUGCAUUUACAAUUUUAUCACUCAUACUCUAUAUUUCCGUGUCAAUGGUUUAGGAUGAAAAGAAACGAAUUGGAAGGGGAAUUAUGAGUAGAGUUAUAUCUUCGAACUCACGAAUGUAUCUUCCUUGUUUUGCUUUUGUUUCAAUUUCUUCAAAUCCCUCAAAGUUCAAACUGACCCCUUAAUUGCAUUGUACGUACAAUGUAAGAUCAUCUUUUGUCGUCUUUUCUAAUACACAUAGCUUGGUAUAUGUACGAUAAACAAGUUUUGUAGCCACUAUUGUUUCUUGGGUUAUUAUCUU
Molecule: long non-coding RNA, 461 nt
Filed under: Nicotiana benthamiana
Lineage: Eukaryota; Viridiplantae; Streptophyta; Magnoliopsida; Solanales; Solanaceae
Description: long non-coding RNA (NBEN_LNC002273)
Source: RNAcentral